CUCAGGUGAUUCGCCCGCCUCGGCCUCCCGAAGUGCUGGGAUUACAGGCGUGAGCCACCGCACCCAGCCCAAACCCACAGUUUUAAUCAUGCUUUUGCUUGGCAAGCCGAUUUCUCUAAGCCAGAGUGAGCCGCAAGGAGAGCCCACGGGUAUUCAUUUCACUUACUCUUUUCCUGUGCCGGGUAGUUUGAGGUGCUUGAGGAUGCAGCAGUGAACGAUGUUGAUGACAGUCUCUGCCCUCGGGCAGCUUCCUUUCUAGUAGGAGACAAUAUGGAAAUAAGAGAGUAUCGUUGGCAAUACUAUGCUGACUGGCAGGGAUGGACUGAGGACUUUACAUAGGGCAGUCAGGCGAAGUCUCUAAGUAAGAGGACACUGAGUUACAAGGGUGACGAGCCAGACAGGACUGAAGGAGCUCUGGAGGAGGAAUUUGCCAGAAAGAAAGACCAGGAAAGGCAAACCCCUCGAAGUUGGAACAAGCUUGGCUUAAUGAAAUAAUCAAAAGGCGAGAAAGAAAACUUCUGUGACCAAGCGUAUGGGGGGCUUUCCCCAUACACCAAGAAAGCAGUUCGACACUAUCCACCUGGAAGUCACGUCAGAUCCUACAGAACUUGUCAACAACUCAGUCCCACAAAAGUGCCCCUGACUUGAGACAUCAAUUGCAAGUCCGAGCUUCUGGAACUUCCCACCAACCAGCUAUUAAUUGGCAUUCCCAUGAAGCUCCUUUUGGGUUCAGGGCAGCAGGCAAGAAG
This 749-nucleotide long non-coding RNA is filed under the name Homo sapiens (human). RNAcentral's name for it is "HSALNT0377651". The record is from RNAcentral. Lineage: Eukaryota; Metazoa; Chordata; Mammalia; Primates; Hominidae.